Molecule: ribosomal RNA, 273 nt
Filed under: uncultured bacterium
Lineage: Bacteria
Description: partial small subunit ribosomal RNA
Rfam family: Bacterial small subunit ribosomal RNA
Source: RNAcentral
AGGACGAACGCUGGCGGCCGUGCUUAACACAUGCAAGUCGAGCGCUGAAGCCUUUCGGGGUGGAUGAGCGGCGAACGGGUGAGUAACACGUGGGUGACCUGCCCUCUACUCUGGGAUAAGCUUGGGAAACUGGGUCUAAUACCGGAUAUGACUUCAUGCUUCAUGGUGUGGGGUGGAAAGCUCUGUUCCUUUUGGGGAUGGUGUGGUGGGGGAUGGGCCCGCGGCCUAUCAGCUUGUUGGUGGGGUGAUGGCCUACCAAGGCUUCGACGGGUA